UACGUAGGGUGCGUGCGUUGUCCGGAAUUAUUGGGCGUAAAGAGCUUGUAGGCGGUUUGUCGCGUCUGCCGUGAAAAUCCGAGGCUCAACCUCGGACUUGCGGUGGGUACGGGCAGACUAGAGUGUGGUAGGGGAGACUGGAAUUCCUGGUGUAGCGGUGAAAUGCGCAGAUAUCAGGAGGAACACCGAUGGCGAAGGCAGGUCUCUGGGCCACUACUGACGCUGAGAAGCGAAAGCAUGGGGAGCGAACAGG
RNAcentral lists this ribosomal RNA (253 nucleotides) under uncultured bacterium. RNAcentral describes it as "partial 16S ribosomal RNA". It matches the Rfam family "Bacterial small subunit ribosomal RNA", at positions 524 to 776 of the family's 1533-position model. The record is from RNAcentral.